UAUGUGUUGGUAGAGUAUGAUGAGAUGGUAGUUGUGUCAGUAGUGUAGGAUUGGUGUUAGGUGUGUUGGUGGAGUAUGAUGAGAUGGUAGUUGUGUCAGUAGUGUAGGAUUAGUGUUAGGCGUGUUGGUGGAGUAUGAUAAGAUGGUAGUUGUGUCAGUAGUGUAGGAUUGGUGUUAGGUGUGUUGGUGGAGUAUGAUGAGAUGGUAGUUGUGUCAGUAGUGUUUGAUUGGUGUUAUGUGUGUUGGUGGAGUAUGAUGAGAUGGUAGUUGUGUCAGUAGUGUUUGAUUGGUGUUAGGUGUGUUGGUGGAGUAUGAUGAGAUGGUUGUUAUGUCAGUAGUGUAGGAUUGGUGUUAGGUGUGUUGGUGGAGUAUGAUAAGAUGGUAGUUGUGUCAGUAGUGUAGGAUUAGUGUUAGGUGUGUUGGUGGAGUAUGAUAAGAUGGUAGCUGUGUCAGUAGUGUAGGAUUGGUGUUAGGUGUGUUGGUGGAGUAUGAUGAGAUGGUAGUUGUGUCAGUAGUGUAGGAUUGGUGUCAGGUGUGUUGAUGGAGUAUGAUAAGAUGGUAGUUGUGUCAGUAGUGUAGGAUUGGUGUUAGGUGUGUUGGUGGAGUAUGAUAAGAUGGUAGUUGUGUCAGUAGUGUAUGAUUGGUUUAGGGUGUGUUGAUGGAGUAUGAUAAGAUGGUAGUUGUGUCAGUAGUGUAGGAUUGGUGUUAGGUGUGUUGAUGGAGUAUGAUAAGACGGUAGUUGUGUCAGUAGUGUAGGAUUGGUGUAGGGUGUGUUGGUGGAGUAUAAUAAUAUGGUAGUUGUGUCAGUAGUGUAUGAUUGGUUUAGGGUGUGUUGGUGGAGUAUGAUAAGAUGGAAGUUGUGUCAGUA
Molecule: long non-coding RNA, 868 nt
Organism: Mytilus californianus (California mussel)
Lineage: Eukaryota; Metazoa; Mollusca; Bivalvia; Mytilida; Mytilidae
Exons: 7
Source: RefSeq, a predicted model, not a curated record